Molecule: unclassified non-coding RNA, 2633 nt
Filed under: Hevea brasiliensis (rubber tree)
Lineage: Eukaryota; Viridiplantae; Streptophyta; Magnoliopsida; Malpighiales; Euphorbiaceae
Source: RNAcentral
AAGAAAGUGCCAACCGCCAUUUUCAACGUCUCCAAUCCGAGACACCAAUGAAGAACGCUCCUUUUGGACUUCAAACCCAGACCCUUAUUGAAAAAUCUCUAGAGCCAUACUCAACACUAGCACAUUUCCUGAUAGCUCGUUUAAUUUCAAUGGCGAAAGUCUCCGAGAACGAGCUAGACAGUGUGAGAAGGAGGGUGGCCUCUGUUUCCAACCAUCUCGCCCCAGUUCCUUUCUCCAAUUAUGUCUCGAUUGGAUUAUCCAACACUUCAAUGAACGAUAGCUAUCACAGGAUACAUGGGGAAGUCUCGACAGAGCAAGUCGUUUGGAGAAAUACCCAUGAUGGGUCCGAGCAGUUCACUGACAUUAUAUAUGACAAAGCUGUUGGCGAAGGGAUUGCAAAGAUUACCAUUAAUAGGCCAGAAAGAAGGAAUGCGUUUCGGCCACAGACGAUUAAGGAGCUAAUUCGCGCAUUUAACGAUGCUAGGAACGAUGCUUCUGUUGGAGUUAUUAUUCUAACUGGGAAGGGAACUAAGGCCUUUUGCAGUGGCGGCGACCAGUCAUUAAGAAACGCAGAUGGUUAUGCUGAUCCUAAUGAUAUGGGUCGUCUCAAUGUUUUGGACUUGCAGGUACUAGUGACUAGUGCGUCACUCCAUCGUUUAAACUAAGCUUGCUCUGGAUCUUGCUUGCUGUGUUGAUGUGUGCAUAUAUAAAAGACUACACAUUCGUGGUCUGUAAUGCGUCAUUUCCAUUUCUAACUGCAGUUCAAAUGAUGAUUCACUAUCAAAUUUCAGCCUCUUUAGCAACUUCGAGGUCUUUCUUAUGAGAACUACUAUUAUUUUGGCCUUAAUUGGGUACUAAAAACACCGAAUUGAAAUGUUUAUGGCUCAAUAUAACAUGGCUUCAGUUAGAGGGCUUAAUAGGAAAAACUUGAAAAUGCCAGUAGCUCUUCAAUGGGUUUUUACUAUAUUAAGGCGUGAUCUUGGUUAUGCUGUUUUUCACCUUCAGUCAUUCUGUAAUUGUCAUAACUUAUUUGGUUUAAUCAUCAUGCAGGUGCAGAUUCGGCGUCUUCCAAAGCCAGUAAUAGCAAUGGUAUACACUUCUUAUUCCUGCAUGGAUUGUCUCAUUGAAUGUGGUAACUAGCCGUGAAUACUUGAAAUUUGCUGAAAAUAUGAUUACAAAACUGUAUGGUCCGAAUGCCAUAUCUUUUAUUCAUUAUAUUUUAAGAUUCACAUUUCCUUUAACAGAAUUGCAAUGUAAGUUCAUGAGAUAAUCAUAGUUUAGAUUCAUCAUAUAUUCGAGUGCAUUGCAUAAUUCAAUACAAUACUCAGGUUGCAGGUUAUGCAGUAGGAGGGGGACAUGUAUUGCACAUGGUUUGUGAUCUCACAAUUGCAGCAGAUAAUGCUAUAUUUGGCCAAACUGGUCCAAAGGUAACUGUCUCACCCACCAUUUUAUCAAGUUAUCUUAUAUUUGUUUCGAUUCUCUGCUAAAGCCUAAAGGGAAAAAAGCAUUGCGAGGUUCACAGAAGAUAUAGGUCAGUCCACCAGGUUGGUACUGUCUUCUUUUCAUGAUAUGAGGGCAAGAGCGCGCAAAGGAAACAUACACAUUAACUGUUAUACGUUGCUUCACUUUCUUCGAACUACUGAGACCUCGUUAAUGUCUGCUUUAUUCUUCCGGUUUAUACAGAUAAUGCUGUUAUAAUAUUGAUAUUGCAGUACUAUUGUUUCUGUGAUAUUCCAGGUUGGAAGCUUUGAUGCUGGUUAUGGAAGUUCCAUUAUGUCCCGUUUGGUUGGACCCAAAAAGGCAUGCGAGAUGUGGUUUCUAGCAAGGUUCUAUACAGCUUCUGAAGCAGAGCAAAUGGGCCUGGUCAACACUGUUGUGCCUUUAGAAAAUUUAGAGCAAGAAACAGUGAAAUGGUGUCGACAGAUACUAAGGAAUAGCCCAACUGCAAUUCGUGUACUCAAGUCAGCUCUUAAUGCAGUUGACGAUGGCCAUGCUGGACUCCAGGUACAUUAAAAAAACUUUGCUUGUCUGAGGUCUCCAAGCUAUUUUAACCCGGCAGCUGUAUACUCCUUCCCACAUAAUUCUCAUUUUUAUUGUUCACAUCAUCCAAACAGAAUAAGCUCUAUGAUAUGUGGUGCUUCCUUCUCCUUUUCCAUUUGCACUCAUAAAAAAUUAUUUCUCAUCCAUGCAGGAGCUUGCUGGAAAUGCUACACUUUUAUUCUAUGGCACUGAGGAAGGUAACGAAGGGAAGACAGCGUUUAUGCAACGUAGAAGCCCAGAUUUCUCAAGAUUUCCUCGACGACCUUAAUGUCUAUCAUUACUGUUGUCAUGUAUAUUAUUUCCCACAUUGGUGGAGAUGAAUUUUUUAAUAAAGAGUGCUGAUAGCUUUCUUUCCUAUCAAUGCACUUCUGGGUUGAUCAGCUUCCCUUUCAACAAUGAGAGAUGGAUAUUGAAGAAACUAUCCAGCAGUCGCCCAGAUUGGUGUCCCAUCGAGAUUGCUAGUUGUGAUAUAUUUUUCAUCGUUGUAAUUCAAGGUUCAGGUUGACGUCAUUGUAUUCAUUCAACAGAUAGCAUUGGUAGAAUAUGGAUAAAAUGAAGAAAAAUAAUUAUAAUGAAGAAACGGUUUAUGAUCA